GAUGAACGCUAGCGACAGGCUUAACACAUGCAAGUCGAGGGGCAGCACAGGUAGCAAUACCGGGUGGCGACCGGCGCACGGGUGAGUAACGCGUAUGCAACUUACCUAUCAGAGGGGGAUAACCCGGCGAAAGUCGGACUAAUACCGCAUGAAGCAGGGGUCCCGCAUGGGGAUAUUUGCUAAAGAUUCAUCGCUGAUAGAUAGGCAUGCGUUCCAUUAGGCAGUUGGCGGGGUAACGGCCCACCAAACCGACGAUGGAUAGGGGUUCUGAGAGGAAGGUCCCCAACAUUGGUACUGAGACACGGACCAAACUCCUACGGGAGGCAGCAGUGAGGAAUAUUGGUCAAUGGCCGAGAGGCUGAACCAGCCAAGUAGCGUGAGGGAUGAAGGUUCUAUGGAUCGUAAACCUCUUUUAUAAGGGAAUAAAGUGCGGGACGUGUCCCGUUUUGUAUGUACCUUAUGAAUAAGGAUCGGCUAACUCCGUG
This 485-nucleotide ribosomal RNA is filed under the name uncultured bacterium. Its description in RNAcentral is "partial 16S ribosomal RNA". It matches the Rfam family "Bacterial small subunit ribosomal RNA", at positions 28 to 507 of the family's 1533-position model. The record is from RNAcentral.